Molecule: ribosomal RNA, 431 nt
Filed under: uncultured bacterium
Lineage: Bacteria
Description: partial 16S ribosomal RNA
Rfam family: Bacterial small subunit ribosomal RNA
Source: RNAcentral
AACGAACGCUGGCGGCAGGCUUAACACAUGCAAGUCGAACGCCCCGCAAGGGGAGUGGCAGCCGGGUGAGUAACGCGGGGGAACAUACCCUUUUCUACGGAAUAGCUCUGGGAAACUGGAAUUAAUACCGUAUACGCCCUACGGGGGAAAGAUUUAUCGGGGAAGGAUUGGCCCGCGUUGGAUUAGCUAGUUGGUGGGGUAAAGGCCUACCAAGGCGACGAUCCAUAGCUGGUCUGAGAGGAUGAUCAGCCACAUUGGGACUGAGACACGGCCCAAACUCCUACGGGAGGCAGCAGUGGGGAAUAUUGGACAAUGGGCGCAAGCCUGAUCCAGCCAUGCCGCGUGAGUGAUGAAGGCCUUAGGGUUGUAAAGCUCUUUCACCGAUGAAGAUAAUGACGGUAGUCGGAGAAGAAGCCCCGGCUAACUUCGUG